UACGUAGGGUGCGAGCGUUGUCCGGAAUUAUUGGGCGUAAAGGGCGCGUAGGCGGCCUGGCAAGUGGAAGGUGAAAUCCCUCGGCUUAACCGAGGAACUGCCCUCCAAACUGCUUGGCUUGAGACCGGGAGAGGUGAGUGGAAUUCCCAGUGUAGCGGUGAAAUGCGUAGAUAUUGGGAGGAACACCAGUGGCGAAGGCGGCUCACUGGACCGGUACUGACGCUGAGGCGCGAAAGCGUGGGGAGCAAACGGGG
Molecule: ribosomal RNA, 254 nt
Filed under: uncultured bacterium
Lineage: Bacteria
Description: partial 16S ribosomal RNA
Rfam family: Bacterial small subunit ribosomal RNA
Source: RNAcentral